RNAcentral lists this ribosomal RNA (466 nucleotides) under uncultured bacterium. Its description in RNAcentral is "partial 16S ribosomal RNA". It matches the Rfam family "Bacterial small subunit ribosomal RNA", at positions 29 to 507 of the family's 1533-position model. The record is from RNAcentral.
ACGAACGCUGGCGGCGUGCUUAACACAUGCAAGUCGAACGGAAAGGCCCUGCUUUUGUGGGGUGCUCGAGUGGCGAACGGGUGAGUAACACGUGAGUAACCUGCCCUUGACUUUGGGAUAACUUCAGGAACUGGGGCUAAUACCGGAUAGGAGCUCCUGCUGCAUGGUGGGGGUUGGAAAGUUUCGGCGGUUGGGGAUGGACUCGCGGCUUAUCAGCUUGUUGGUGGGGUAGUGGCUUACCAAGGCUUUGACGGGUAGCCGGCCUGAGAGGGUGACCGGCCACAUUGGGACUGAGAUACGGCCCAGACUCCUACGGGAGGCAGCAGUGGGGAAUAUUGCACAAUGGGCGGAAGCCUGAUGCAGCAACGCCGCGUGCGGGAUGACGGCCUUCGGGUUGUAAACCGCUUUCGCCUGUGACGAAGCGUGAGUGACGGUAAUGGGUAAAGAAGCACCGGCUAACUACGUG